Non-coding RNA from Oryctolagus cuniculus (rabbit), 473 nucleotides. The record is from the annotation of a RefSeq genome assembly. NCBI's taxonomy places the organism in Eukaryota, Metazoa, Chordata, Mammalia, Lagomorpha, Leporidae.
AUGGCCUGGGCUCCUCUGCUCAUCCUUCUCACUCUCUGCACAGGGUCUUGGGCUGAGGCUGCCCUGACUCAGCCAGCUGCAGUGUCGGGGCUGUGGGGAAGGCGGUCACCAUCACCUGCACUGGAGGCACAGGCAACGUGGGGCGUGGACAUCCAGACUGGUACCUGCAGCUGCCCGGCAGGCCCCCCAGCGUGCUCAUCCAUGAUGGCAGUAUGCGGCCCUCAGGGGUGCCGGACAGGUUCACAGGGUCCGUGUCUGGGAACACGGCCUCCCUCACCAUCGCUGGGCUGCAGCCUGAGGAUGAGGCUGAUUACUACUGUGCCGCAUGGGACAGCAGCCUGCAUGCUGACACAGUGCUGUGGAUCCAGGUCCAUCAGUCACUGUUUAUCGAGUGCAAUACUUUCUGUGAAUUCGCUGGAGGAACUCACAGGUUUGUAAGACUCACCACAGGGAACCUGCAUCUAGAAAUUUAG